CUCAAGGAAGCGCUUUGUCCACGUGGACACAAAGCGCACUCUCAAGGACGUGUUUUCUGUCCAUGUGGACAAAGCGCUUCCUUGAGG
Non-coding RNA from Gossypium hirsutum (cotton), 87 nucleotides. NCBI's taxonomy places the organism in Eukaryota, Viridiplantae, Streptophyta, Magnoliopsida, Malvales, Malvaceae. The record is from Rfam.